CAGUAGCCGCGGUAAUACAGAGGGUGCGAGCGUUAAUUGGAUUUACUGGGCGUAAAGCGUGCGUAGGCGGCUUUUUAAGUCGGAUGUGAAAUCCCUGAGCUUAACUUAGGAAUUGCAUUCGAUACUGGGAAGCUAGAGUAUGGGAGAGGAUGGUAGAAUUCCAGGUGUAGCGGUGAAAUGCGUAGAGACCUGGAGGAAUACCGAUGGCGAAGGCAGCCAUCUGGCCUAAUACUGACGCUGAGGUACGAAAGCAUGGGGAGCAAACAGGAUUAGAUACCCCUGUAGUCCCUGUCUCUUAUAC
RNAcentral lists this ribosomal RNA (301 nucleotides) under uncultured bacterium. Its description in RNAcentral is "partial 16S ribosomal RNA". It matches the Rfam family "Bacterial small subunit ribosomal RNA", at positions 509 to 807 of the family's 1533-position model. The record is from RNAcentral.